Molecule: long non-coding RNA, 2370 nt
Organism: Mauremys reevesii (Reeves's turtle)
Lineage: Eukaryota; Metazoa; Chordata; Testudines; Geoemydidae
Exons: 6
Source: RefSeq, a predicted model, not a curated record
UGCUACUCACUAGGCUUCUGCUUGGAGAGAAAUAAAGACCAGUAACCAUUAUGUGAUGAGAGAUGUUGGGCUGGGGCUUAGCAGUGUCCUGACUGAUUCUCCCUGACAGAUAAGAGGCCAGACUUUGCCAUCAUUAUUCACAAUGAACAGAACCUAUCUCCAUGAUCAGUGCCAUUGAUUUCUUUUGGACUACUUGCAUAGCAAAGAUGAUUAUAUUUCAGUCUACGUCCACCCGUGAUUAAUGGCACCAAGUCCCAAGACACUGACACCACAGCUAUGUAUCUGUGAAGUACAAUAUCCUGGAUCUGACACCGUAUAUUGAAGAAGCCCAGAAACAAGAAACAUUAUAGCCAUUCAUACAAUCAGUGUAAUACCUUCUGAGGGGUUGAAUGGCUCAUCAAGAGCAACUCGAAUGAUUUCACUGGGGCAAGGUCUCCCUCCUGCGUCACUCUCCACACCAGAUGACACAGAUGUGAUGACAGUUGUGAAGCCGCACCUCCAAAGACAAUAUGUGAAGAGCUGAAAAUCAAAACUACCACCCUGUAUUUUAUCUGAGUACCAUUUAAGAACCCAGAAUCAAAGGAACGACAGCUUCAUUCGAGCAAGUAAGAAAAUGAAGGAAGUCGUAUCUCUUUGCUACCUACCGGGAGAAAGGGUUUGGAAGAUAUUUCACAGCCAAGUUAACUUCAAUCCCCUGGACAAUGUUUUACAGCUGUUGCUUUAAAAAACUGUAUAUAUUUGGACACUCUUCUAUCCAUGUUCCUCAAGAACCUUUUCACUGAUUUAUAAGGUGAUAAACUAUAUAUCCUCAUGCAUUUGUGGUGGGCAGAAACACCAGUGAUGCAAUGUCUCAAUGCCACAAUUCAUGGGGGUUGAUUCAGAGACCUCUAGACUAGGCCAUGCUCUUGUGCAGACAAGUGGUAAUUAAAGAAAAAAUGAAAUAUUGUAUAACUUGGUUUUAAGAUAAAACCCUCUCUUUUUUAUAAGGUGGAUUCUGCCCCUGCAAUUUCUGUUGAUCUCUAGGUUUUUAAAACAUGAACCAGAAGUGACAAAGUUGUAAAUAUACCAGGAAUAUUAAGAGGAGAUCUGUCUGUUACCACAUGCAGCUGUUGUUCCCAAAAUAAAACAUUGCUACAUUUAGAGAGAUGAUAAAUUACCAUUUUUUGCCAAGCAUAUACAGAUUUUCAAUAGAGAGAGUUAAGUAAUGGAUUUUCAUACUCUUUUUGCAAACAUAGAUUCAUCACUUUCUCAGGGAAAUUUUGGCACUUUAAUAAGGAUACAUAGUCCUGGCAAAAUAUCUUUUCUGCCUGCCACAACUGCCUUGGCUUCCUUUUAAAUAGAGAAAAUUCAAGCAGAGAAUGGAAAACGAUUUCACAUCUGUGCAACCAACAAAACCGGUAAUACCAGCUUCCUUAUCAGCUGGAGAUAUGCUCAAACUAGCACCAUUUGAGCCCCCCUCCACACCCACACAGUGCUUCACUCCAGUGGUUUGAAUAAAGGGGAACUCAGAUCUGAACCAGAUUUUAGUUCUGCAAAGCCAAGACAUAGCUGCCUUGCCCAUCUGUAUCCUCAGUAAUACCAGAAGAAAAGAAACUGGAGUUAUUUCACAUCUCUUGAUGGCAGCUGAGGACAAAAAAAAUCUGUCAUGCUCUAGGCUGAUGCUUAUUUGGCAUGUUUAUAGGUCUCGUUAUCCUCACAUCUGAGCACCUCACAUUCUGUUUGUUGUAUUGAUCCUCACCACGACCCUGUGAGGUAGGGAAGCACUAUUAUCCCCAUUUCACAGAUGAAGCGCAGAGAAGCUGAUUGUCCAGUGUCAUAGUGGAACUCUGUGACAAAGAAGAGCAUUAAACCCCAGUUUCCCAAGUCCCAGGCUAGUCCCCAAACCACUGACUCAUCCUUCCUCUGGGACCUAACAUUGUUCUCUGGUGAAUGUAUAAAACCAGAGGUGGAUCCAAGGGACAGUGAAGUCUGGACCCAUGCCCAGUGUAUAAAGAAAAGGGGCUGCAGCAAUGCUUAAGCAAUCCUUUGCCCGGGCAGAAGCAGCUGUCCAGUGGGCUUUUUCCACUCCACCUCCUCCUCCCUGCCAUUCUUCCUCUUCUCCAUCAGCAGCCAGGUCCCACAGCUUCUGAGGCUGUUCAAGAAGAAAGCUAAUUGCCAGCUGGCUCAGUCCCCUCCCAGGUUCCCCCCCCCUUCAGAAUAUAGGCUGGGCUGGUAGCACUGCCUAUUGUUAAUGACACCCAAUUCUUCCCAUGAUAAGACUGUUUUCACAUGCUUCUAACAUUGCCAAACUUUUAUCAUUUGGGCUAAAAUCUCCCACACCAGGCAUCUACCUCAGGCUGAAGUUUACUGAAAAAUUUCAGACAAAAUAGU